Molecule: non-coding RNA, 30 nt
Filed under: Mus musculus (house mouse)
Lineage: Eukaryota; Metazoa; Chordata; Mammalia; Rodentia; Muridae
Source: RNAcentral
UGAAAGACUUCUGAGUGCAUAGUCUCCAUG